Molecule: transfer RNA, 64 nt
Filed under: Alpheus randalli
Lineage: Eukaryota; Metazoa; Arthropoda; Malacostraca; Decapoda; Alpheidae
Description: tRNA-Phe
Source: RNAcentral
AUUUAAAUAGUUAAAGAAUAGCGUUACAUUGAAGCUGUAAAGUUGGUAGGAUUACCUUUAAAUG